UGGGGAAUUUUGGACAAUGGGGGAAACCCUGAUCCAGCCAUCCCGCGUGUGCGAUGAAGGCCUUCGGGUUGUAAAGCACUUUUGGCAGGAAAGAAACGUCAUGGGUUAAUACCCCGUGAAACUGACGGUACCUGCAGAAUAAGCACCGGCUAACUACGUGCCAGCAGCCGCGGUAAUACGUAGGGUGCAAGCGUUAAUCGGAAUUACUGGGCGUAAAGCGUGCGCAGGCGGUUCGGAAAGAAAGAUGUGAAAUCCCAGAGCUCAACUUUGGAACUGCAUUUUUAACUACCGGGCUAGAGUGUGUCAGAGGGAGGUGGAAUUCCGCGUGUAGCAGUGAAAUGCGUAGAUAUGCGGAGGAACACCGAUGGCGAAGGCAGCCUCCUGGGAUAACACUGACGCUCAUGCACGAAAGCGUGGUGAGCAAACAG
This 428-nucleotide ribosomal RNA is filed under the name Acidobacteriota bacterium. Its description in RNAcentral is "Acidobacteria bacterium partial 16S ribosomal RNA". It matches the Rfam family "Bacterial small subunit ribosomal RNA", at positions 355 to 775 of the family's 1533-position model. Lineage: Bacteria; Pseudomonadati; Acidobacteriota. The record is from RNAcentral.